GAUGAACGCUAGCGAUAGGCUUAACACAUGCAAGUCGAGGGGUAACGUGUUGGAAGCUUGCUUCCGAUGACGCCGACCGGCGGAUGGGUGCGUAACGCGUAUGCAACUUGCCUCACAGUGGAGAAUAACCCGGAGAAAUCCGGACUAAUACUCCAUACACUCUUAAGUACGCCUGUACAUGAGAGGAAAGAUUUAUCGCUGUGAGAUAGGCAUGCGUCCUAUUAGGUAGUUGGUGAGGUAACGGCUCACCAAGCCGACGAUAGGUAGGGGUGCUGAGAGGCAGAUCCCCCACAUUGGGACUGAGACACGGCCCAAACUCCUACGGGAGGCAGCAGUGAGGAAUAUUGGUCAAUGGAGGAAACUCUGAACCAGCCAAGUCGCGUGAAGGAAGAAUGUCCUAAGGAUUGUAAACUUCUUUAGCGAGCGAGUAAGGACUUCCACGUGAUGGGAGUUUGAAAGUAGCUCGAGAAUAAGUAUCGGCUAACUCCGU
This 490-nucleotide ribosomal RNA is filed under the name uncultured bacterium. RNAcentral's name for it is "partial 16S ribosomal RNA". It matches the Rfam family "Bacterial small subunit ribosomal RNA", at positions 28 to 506 of the family's 1533-position model. The record is from RNAcentral.